ACGGUCGUAGUCUAAUGGUAGGAUAUAAGCCUGUGGAGCUUAAGGCGGGUGUUCGAUUCUCCCCGACCGUC
This 71-nucleotide transfer RNA is filed under the name Nanobdellota archaeon. RNAcentral's name for it is "tRNA-His". It matches the Rfam family "tRNA". From Rfam's summary of the family: Transfer RNA (tRNA) molecules are approximately 80 nucleotides in length. Lineage: Archaea; Nanobdellati; Nanobdellota. The record is from RNAcentral.